Molecule: small nuclear RNA, 106 nt
Organism: Meriones unguiculatus (Mongolian gerbil)
Lineage: Eukaryota; Metazoa; Chordata; Mammalia; Rodentia; Muridae
Source: Ensembl
GUGCUCGCUUCAGCAGCACAUAUACUAAAGUUGGAAUGAUACAGAGAAGAUUAGCAUGGCUCCUGUGCAAGGAUGACACCAAAUUUAUGAAGCAUUCCAUAUUUUU